This 101-nucleotide small RNA is filed under the name Mytilus galloprovincialis (Mediterranean mussel). The record is from RNAcentral. Lineage: Eukaryota; Metazoa; Mollusca; Bivalvia; Mytilida; Mytilidae.
AAACAAGUCUUUGGACAAUUUUUCCUUGGAAAACAAGUGUCAGACAUAAUUUACUAGCUAUGGACUUAUUUUCCUAGGAACAUUUGUCCUAGGACUUAUAU